UCCCGGCGUGUGGGGCCGGGCUCGGCCGCUCCCGGGCUCGAUAUUGCGGUCGCCGAGCCGGUACCGGCCCCUUGGCGAGCCCGAAGCGGAGGGACAAGGGACUGAGGCGUUCCCGCGCGCGCGCGCGUGUAUGUGGAGGAGCCGCGCGCGUCCGCGUAACGGUCGUUGGGCAACGGGCGCAACGGAAGGCAGUUAAAAACCGAUGGGCGCCGCUUCUCAGCAUCGCCCUGUGGGAAGGGAAGGGGGAAGACGAGUCCCGGAUUGCUCCCCGCUGAGCGCUGGGCAGAAGAGGCCUCACCUACUCAGCUGCUCCCCUUAAGGAGCAGUUCCACAUGUCCAAUCAUCCUUGUGCUUCUCAUUUUUCAGUUGUAACAUGUCAUUCUGGUGACAAGAAGGCUGGAACUACACACAAUAUUCAAGGGACAACUUCUUCAGAAGGAGACUAGUUUCCUCUAAGAACCUCAUGAGAUACCCCACUGGUGCCAGAACAGUGCUUGGACCAAGGCAGUACAGGACUGCAGACUCCUCGUACAGUUACUACUCGUCCUGCAAGUAGAGAUCGAAGCCACCCUGGGGACUCCCAAAGAGAGAACUGGUUCUACAGUUUCUCUGUCAACCUGCCCACUUGCUAAUGGCAGCUGAGGACUACGAGAUAUACAGCAGGGUGAAUUUAACUAAAGCAGCUUCGGGGAGUGGUGCAUACUCCAGGCUGCUUCUGAUCACAGAUGACAAGGGGGCAUUUUCCAUUCUCUCCCAGAGGAAUUGCAAAUGUGCAGCAGGUAUAGCCGAUGUUCAGGAAAACUCGCUGCCUGCAACUACGCACUACUUAAUUCUAUUAAAUCCUUGCAUUUGUAGUUUGCCUUUGAGACUGCUGCCAGUACACGAGUUUGCUUGCAUGAAUGACGAUGAUGAGGGAAUCCAGCAAAGCUGAUAAACUUCUCAGAGAUGGAUCCUGCUCUUCUGCUGUCUACGGUGUGAGAUCAUACCUGUCAAGUAUGAAGCUGGAAGGAUUAAAUAUACCGUAGUGUUGGCAAAGCCUGCUGCAGUUAAGACAGCUGGGGUCACUUGAUGGCUCCCAAGAAGUCGACCUGAAUUUUGCUAUUAUGUGAGAUGACAAGUACAUCCAAGGACUUCAAACAUCAUCUUUCAAGCAAACAAAUAAAGGCUUAUUGAGGCACUGGAA
This is a long non-coding RNA of Grus americana (Whooping crane), 1183 nucleotides long. RefSeq lists it as uncharacterized. The transcript is spliced from 5 exons. The record is from RefSeq and is a predicted model, not a curated record. Lineage: Eukaryota; Metazoa; Chordata; Aves; Gruiformes; Gruidae.